Molecule: ribosomal RNA, 356 nt
Filed under: uncultured Porphyrobacter sp.
Lineage: Bacteria; Pseudomonadati; Pseudomonadota; Alphaproteobacteria; Sphingomonadales; Erythrobacteraceae
Description: bacterial SSU rRNA
Rfam family: Bacterial small subunit ribosomal RNA
Source: RNAcentral
GAUGAACGCUGGCGGUAUGCCUAACACAUGCAAGUCGAACGAGACCUUCGGGUCUAGUGGCGCACGGGUGCGUAACGCGUGGGAACCUGCCCUUAGGUUCGGAAUAACUCAGAGAAAUUUGAGCUAAUACCGGAUAAUGUCUUCGGACCAAAGAUUUAUCGCCUUUGGAUGGGCCCGCGUUGGAUUAGCUAGUUGGUGGGGUAAAGGCCUACCAAGGCGACGAUCCAUAGCUGGUCUGAGAGGAUGAUCAGCCACACUGGGACUGAGACACGGCCCAGACUCCUACGGGAGGCAGCAGUGGGGAAUAUUGGACAAUGGGCGAAAGCCUGAUCCAGCAAUGCCGCGUGAGUGAUGAA